CCUGUGGAGAUUUACAGCAAACGUUAGUAGCUAAGGCAAAAGCGGAAUCAAUGAAGCAGGAA
Molecule: non-coding RNA, 62 nt
Submitted as: unclassified sequences
Source: Rfam